CAGAGGGUGCGAGCGUUGUUCGGAAUUACUGGGCGUAAAGCGCGCGCAGGCGGUUCUUUAAGUCUACCCGUGAAAUGCCGGAGCUCAACUCCGUGCACGCCGGGGGAUACUGGAGAACUGGAGACAGGUAGAGGCAGGCGGAAUUCCGGGUGUAGCGGUGGAAUGCGUAGAGAUCCGGAAGAACACCAGAGGCGAAGGCGGCCUGCUGGGCCUUGUCUGACGCUGAGGCGCGAAAGCGUGGGGAGCGAACAGGAUUAGAUACCCUGGUAGUCCACGCCGUAAACGAUGGGCACUGGGCGCGGGUGGGAUCGACCCCUUCCGUGCCGUAGCUAACGCGAUAAGUGCCCCGCCUGGGGGGUACGGCCGCAAGGCUG
This 374-nucleotide ribosomal RNA is filed under the name uncultured organism. RNAcentral describes it as "bacterial SSU rRNA". It matches the Rfam family "Bacterial small subunit ribosomal RNA", at positions 526 to 896 of the family's 1533-position model. The record is from RNAcentral.